CCUGGACAUUUUGUCUACAAUAAGAGGGAAAUCAGAAAGGAUAAUAAGAAUUGGGUAGAGGGGGGGAGAUAGGGAAAGAGAGAGAGAGAGCAAGAGACAGAGACACAAAGAGUGCAACAGAGAAAGUCUACAAGCGGUACCUGGUUUAUCCGGUAAUACACUAACUUCAAUUAAGUCAAUUCUGGACGUCUCUUCACAAAGUGCCUCACCCUGAUUGGCCAAAAGUCAUGUCACACAUCACCAGCUGAUUUGCAUAGCAGGUGGGGCCACCCACCCGCAAUCCAUGAUUGGCUCCGAAGUUUAUACUAGGGGCCUCAAGGUUUGCCAUAGUUCUGUUUUUCUUAUUCCCUAAAAGUUCAUUAAUUGAUUGGUUGAUUGAUAGACUAAUCGAUCAAUCAGUUGAUAGAUUAAAGUGGUAUAUCGGCUAUUAGUAUUCCAGGCCUGAAUCAUUCCCUGAUUAGAGGGGAAGGAUGAUGAUGAUGUUGAAGGGUAUUACUGUACUGUUACGCAUUCACACACACACACGCACCCACACACCUUUUCUCAGUGUCAAUAGUGGUGUUGCUGGUGUUAUGCCUGGGUGAGUGUGUGUGUUAGAAUGUGACCUAUGUUGAUCUCUUUUCCAUCUAUACAUUGGCUGGCCUCCAACAAACUUCACACAUUCAGCAGCAAUGUUUCCAAACACUAAGGCCAGAUCCCUUCCUUUCCUUGUCUCCUUUCCUUGUCUCCACCACAGAUCUGAAAGACCACACCAUAUGAACACAAUAUGAUGGAACUCUAUCAACCUACCAGGUCUCUCACAUCUCAGUCAUAACAAAGGAAAGGAAACAACCAUAACCAGCAGUAUUAGAAUAUUGGGAAACUGUCUAAAUCAUACCCUGGGCACUGGCAUGAGAGACCACUGAA
Molecule: long non-coding RNA, 906 nt
Organism: Oncorhynchus tshawytscha (Chinook salmon)
Lineage: Eukaryota; Metazoa; Chordata; Actinopteri; Salmoniformes; Salmonidae
Source: Ensembl